AAGUCGUAACAAGGUAACCGUAGGUGAACCUGCGGUUGGAUCAUUACUAAAAAAUUUUGUGUUGCGUGCCUUCUUGGCCGCAGCACACAAAUUUAUCACCCCCUUUGUGAACUGUUUACCGUGUUUUGGCAGCCCUCCAAAAAUGCUUGGGCUCAUAGAUGUCAAAGUCUAUAGCUUUGAGUUUGGGCUGUCAGCAAUUAUAUCCACACCAAUGUUUUAUUAAAAUCAUGUCUCCAAAAGAUUCAUCGAAUCUUUGUUUUUAAAAUAAAAAACAACUUUUGACAACGGAUCUCUUGGCUCUC
Molecule: unclassified non-coding RNA, 302 nt
Filed under: fungal sp.
Lineage: Eukaryota; Fungi
Description: partial internal transcribed spacer region
Rfam family: Eukaryotic small subunit ribosomal RNA (bases 1-46)
Source: RNAcentral